AAUAUUAGUCACAUUCUACAGAUGAGGACACUAAGGCUGAGUGGCUUAAUAAUCUUCAGCGAUCUUAAUUCCUGGCAGGAAUCCUUUGAAGGGAUAAAAGAAGUAAUCAGAGACCUGUCCACGGUGACAAUAGGGUCAAGGGUUAACCUCAUCCCCAUCCUCCACCACAGCUGGUGCCUGCUUCUAUUUGACUCAUAACAGACUGCAUUGGAAUCAUCUGUUUGCUUGUCUGUUUCUCUACCACUCAAUAAGCUCCUGAGGGGCCUCAUUAUCUCUCCAAUGCCUGGAUUAUAGUGUUGUUAAAUAAAUUUCCAUAGAAUUGAACAGACACAGUUCAGAGGCCAAAAGAUCAAAGAUUCAGCAAAAGAAGGCCCCGAAGUGCGUGCUGAUUCCAGAAGAGAGGCUGCUUGUCUGUUUGGGAAGAAAAACCUCCCAACUCUUGCUUAUGAUCUCUGGUCCUAUCUCUUUUUCUCCUGCAUCAGUGAGUAGGGGGUUUGGCAAUUUAAAACAUUUUUAUUUUUAUUGUUUUGAAUCGGGCAGCCUCCAGAAUCACAGCAGAUUCAAAGAGAUUCCCUCGGGGUGGCAAUUUUACCUACUCUCAGCUCAGGGCUGCCUCUGCUCAGCAGACAUUAGACAACAGUGCUGAGAAUAUUUUCCUCCUAAUAAGAAAAUUCCAAUCACAAUGAUCAUGCUCAGAUACCUAAAGAGCUGCUGGAAUCUGACCUCCGAAUACCUGGGGAAUUACUAUACUGUGAAAAAAGGCAGUCUGAAGAAAGAAAGGACAAUAAG
This is a long non-coding RNA of Pan troglodytes (chimpanzee), 789 nucleotides long. RefSeq lists it as uncharacterized. The transcript has 3 exons. Lineage: Eukaryota; Metazoa; Chordata; Mammalia; Primates; Hominidae. The record is from RefSeq and is a predicted model, not a curated record.